GCUGGGUGCAAUGAAGCACACCUGUAGUCCCAGCUCCCUGGAUGCUGAGAUAGGAGAAUCACUUGAGUUCAGGGGUUUCAGGCCAGACUGGCCAACAUAAUGAGACCCUGUCUCAA
This 116-nucleotide small RNA is filed under the name Marmota monax (woodchuck). Lineage: Eukaryota; Metazoa; Chordata; Mammalia; Rodentia; Sciuridae. The record is from RNAcentral.